Molecule: ribosomal RNA, 497 nt
Filed under: uncultured bacterium
Lineage: Bacteria
Description: partial 16S ribosomal RNA
Rfam family: Bacterial small subunit ribosomal RNA
Source: RNAcentral
GAUGAACGCUGGCGGCGUGCCUAAUUCAUGCAAGUCGAGCGAACAGACGAGGAGCUUGCUCCUUUGACGUUAGCGGCGGACGGGUGAGUAACACGUGGAUAACCUACCUAUAAGACUGGGAUAACUUCGGGAAACCGGAGCUAAUACCGGAUAAUAUAUUGAACCGCAUGGUUCAAUAGUGAAAGACGGUUUUGCUGUCACUUAUAGAUGGAUCCGCGCCGCAUUAGCUAGUUGGUAAGGUAACGGCUUACCAAGGCGACGAUGCGUAGCCGACCUGAGAGGGUGAUCGGCCACACUGGAACUGAGCCACGGUCCAGACUCCUACGGGAGGCAGCAGUAGGGAAUCUUCCGCAAUGGGCGAAAGCCUGACGGAGCAACGCCGCGUGAGUGAUGAAGGUCUUCGGAUCGUAAAACUCUGUUAUUAGGGAAGAACAAAUGUGUAAGUAACUAUGCACGUCUUGACGGUACCUAAUCAGAAAGCCACGGCUAACUACGUG